RNAcentral lists this ribosomal RNA (366 nucleotides) under uncultured Methanosaeta sp. RNAcentral describes it as "bacterial SSU rRNA". It matches the Rfam family "Archaeal small subunit ribosomal RNA", at positions 974 to 1338 of the family's 1478-position model. The record is from RNAcentral. Lineage: Archaea; Methanobacteriati; Methanobacteriota; Methanomicrobia; Methanotrichales; Methanotrichaceae.
GACUUAGCUGAGAGGUGGUGCAUGGCCGUCGUCAGUUCGUACUGUGAAGCAUCCUGUUAAGUCAGGCAACGAGCGAGACCCACGUCCACAGUUGCCAGCAUACCCUCCGGGGUGAUGGGUACACUGUGGAGACCGCCGCUGCUAAAGCGGAGGAAGGAGUGGGCAACGGUAGGUCAGUAUGCCCCGAAUCUCCCGGGCUACACGCGGGCUACAAUGGUUGGUACAAUGGGCAUCUACCCCGAAAGGGGAAGGAAAUCUCUUAAAGCCAAUCGUAGUUCGGAUUGAGGGCUGCAACUCGCCCUCAUGAAGCUGGAAUCCGUAGUAAUCGCGUUUCAACAGAACGCGGUGAAUACGUCCCUGCUCCUU